CCCUUAGAUGUCCUGGGCCGCACGCGCGUUACACUGAUGCAUUCAACGAGCUUAUAACCUUGGCCGAGAGGCCUGGGCAAUCUUGUUAACGUGCAUCGUGAUAGGGAUAGAUUAUUGAAAUUAUUAAUCUUGAACGAGGAAUUCCUAGUAAACGCAGAUCAUCAAUCUGCAUUGAUUACGUCCCGGCCCUUUGUACACACCGCCCGUCGCACCUACCGAUUGGAUGGUCCGGUGAAGCCUCGGGAUUGUGGUUCUUGCCGCUUUAUUGUGGCGUGACCGCGAGAACUUGUCUAAACCUUAUCAUCUAGAGGAAGGUGAAGUCGUAACA
RNAcentral lists this ribosomal RNA (328 nucleotides) under uncultured eukaryote. Its description in RNAcentral is "partial 18S ribosomal RNA". It matches the Rfam family "Eukaryotic small subunit ribosomal RNA", at positions 1470 to 1796 of the family's 1831-position model. The record is from RNAcentral.